UUUGGGGGUGCCGUGCCCCUCGGGUCGCGGCUGAGAACAUACCCAUGGAAUCUGAUCCGGAUCAUACCGGCGUAGAGAACUAAACUUAUUA
Molecule: non-coding RNA, 91 nt
Filed under: bovine gut metagenome
Source: RNAcentral